This 253-nucleotide ribosomal RNA is filed under the name uncultured bacterium. RNAcentral's name for it is "partial 16S ribosomal RNA". It matches the Rfam family "Bacterial small subunit ribosomal RNA", at positions 524 to 776 of the family's 1533-position model. The record is from RNAcentral.
UACGUAGGGGGCAAGCGUUGUCCGGAAUUAUUGGGCGUAAAGCGCACGUAGGCGGUUUGUUAAGUCGGAUGUGAAAUCCCUCGGCUCAACUGAGGAACUGCCUUUGAAACUGUCUGGCUUGAGGCCGGGAGAGGGUAGCGGAAUUCCCAGUGUAGCGGUGAAAUGCGUAGAUAUUGGGAGGAACACCAGUGGCGAAGGCGGCUACCUGGACCGGUUCUGACGCUGAGGCGCGAAAGCGUGGGUAGCAAACAGG